UAGGAUGAAGUUUCCCAAAAAAUUAGGAAAAAACUUCCUGCGGGAGGAAACCUGUGCCAAGCUCUAGAAGUGGAGGCGCAAUCUCGGAACUAACAAACUCCAAAAACACACACGGAUAUAACAACGGUCUUAACCACGGAUUCAAAGGUGGAGAGCGCGUUUUCUCCUCGACUUUCUCAUUUCUUUAAAAGAGAAAUGGAAGAGAGUUCAAGCUCUCCAGUCUCCCCAGUGGACAGCCUGGUGACCAGCGAGGAGGAGUUGGACAGACAGCAGAAAAAGUUCGGAAGGAAGAGGAGACAAAGUAAAAAGUCGAGCGAGGACGGCAGCAGCCCGAGCUCCGUGAAUAAACGGAGCAAGAAGCCGAGCCCGAGCAGCACUCAGUCGUUCGAGGAGCUGCAGAACCAGCGCGUCCUGGCGAACGUCAGGGAGAGGCAACGGACUCAGUCGCUGAACGAUGCUUUCGCGUCUUUGCGCAAAAUCAUCCCCACGCUCCCCUCGGAUAAACUCAGCAAGAUACAGACGCUCAAGCUCGCCUCCAGGUACAUUGAUUUCCUCUGUCAGGUGCUGCAGAGCGACGAGAUGGACAACAAGAUGUCCAGCUGCAGCUACGUCGCUCACGAGAGACUGAGUUACGCCUUCUCGGUGUGGAGGAUGGAGGGCGCGUGGUCGAUGUCUGCGUCCCACUAGCAGCGAGACUCGUCCGUGCAAUGCCGAAAGGACUGUUUACUUCCACUAAUUUUGAAGACACCAAAGGAUUUAUUGAUGAACCUCUAAACCUCAGUGACGUGGCCAAAGGACAUUCAGUAGAUACACCUACGGACUUGAGUAUCCUCACGAAGGAAACAACGAAAGGAGCUUUUUCUAUAGAGGAAACGUAGAUGACGUCUCCUGUGUCGUCAAAUACAUUUAAUCAUUUUCACAAGUUAUUCUUAAAUGUCGGCAUGGUGAUAGUACAGGAAGGCCAUCUGUUAUCUGUAUGGAAACUAUAUUGUGUGUGUGUGUGUGUGUGUGUGUGUGUGUGUGUGUGUGUGUGUGUGUGAGUGUGUGGCUGUGUGUAUGUGUGUGUGUGUGUGUGUGUGUGAACAAAAAACUAUUGUAAAUAGGCUACCUGUGAGUAUUGUCAGCUUUUUUUAAGGGACCAAUGCAAUUUAGAGCAAUACUUUCUUGAAGUACGCUGCAUGGAUGAAUGCAUACAUUUGAUUUUUCCUAUGCAACAUUUUCAAUUUCCGUCCAUUGUACAUUUUGCUUAUUUAUUAAAACAUAUUUUUGAACAUUU
RNA transcript from Cyprinus carpio (common carp), 1276 nucleotides. It is a transcript of the gene named twist2, with no coding region annotated. The transcript is spliced from 3 exons. NCBI's taxonomy places the organism in Eukaryota, Metazoa, Chordata, Actinopteri, Cypriniformes, Cyprinidae. The record is from RefSeq and is a predicted model, not a curated record.